RNAcentral lists this ribosomal RNA (2371 nucleotides) under Bacillus sp. L75. RNAcentral describes it as "bacterial LSU rRNA". It matches the Rfam family "Bacterial large subunit ribosomal RNA", at positions 1 to 2365 of the family's 2925-position model. Lineage: Bacteria; Bacillati; Bacillota; Bacilli; Caryophanales; Bacillaceae. The record is from RNAcentral.
CGGUUAAGUUAGAAAGGGCGCACGGUGGAUGCCUUGGCACUAGGAGCCGAUGAAGGACGGGACGAACACCGAUAUGCUUCGGGGAGCUGUAAGCAAGCUUUGAUCCGGAGAUUUCCGAAUGGGGAAACCCACCACUCGUAAUGGAGUGGUAUCCAUAUCUGAAUACAUAGGAUAUGAGAAGGCAGACCCGGGGAACUGAAACAUCUAAGUACCCGGAGGAAGAGAAAGCAAAUGCGAUUCCCUGAGUAGCGGCGAGCGAAACGGGACCAGCCCAAACCAAGAGGCUUGCCUCUUGGGGUUGUAGGACACUCUGUACGGAGUUACAAAGGAACGAGGUAGAUGAAGAGGUCUGGAAAGGCCCGCCAUAGGAGGUAACAGCCCUGUAGUCAAAACUUCGUUCUCUCCUGAGUGGAUCCUGAGUACGGCGGAACACGUGAAAUUCCGUCGGAAUCCGGGAGGACCAUCUCCCAAGGCUAAAUACUCCCUAGUGACCGAUAGUGAACCAGUACCGUGAGGGAAAGGUGAAAAGCACCCCGGAAGGGGAGUGAAAGAGAUCCUGAAACCGUGUGCCUACAAGUAGUCAGAGCCCGUUAACGGGUGAUGGCGUGCCUUUUGUAGAAUGAACCGGCGAGUUACGAUCCCGUGCAAGGUUAAGCAGAAGAUGCGGAGCCGCAGCGAAAGCGAGUCUGAAUAGGGCGAAUUGAGUACGUGGUCGUAGACCCGAAACCAGGUGAUCUACCCAUGUCCAGGGUGAAGUUCAGGUAACACUGAAUGGAGGCCCGAACCCACGCACGUUGAAAAGUGCGGGGAUGAGGUGUGGGUAGGGGUGAAAUGCCAAUCGAACCUGGAGAUAGCUGGUUCUCUCCGAAAUAGCUUUAGGGCUAGCCUCAAGGUAAGAGUCUCGGAGGUAGAGCACUGAUUGGACUAGGGGCCCCUACCGGGUUACCGAAUUCAGUCAAACUCCGAAUGCCGAUGACUUAUCCUUGGGAGUCAGACUGCGAGUGAUAAGAUCCGUAGUCGAAAGGGAAACAGCCCAGACCGCCAGCUAAGGUCCCAAAGUAUACGUUAAGUGGAAAAGGAUGUGGAGUUGCUUAGACAACCAGGAUGUUGGCUUAGAAGCAGCCACCAUUUAAAGAGUGCGUAAUAGCUCACUGGUCGAGUGACUCUGCGCCGAAAAUGUACCGGGGCUAAACGUAUCACCGAAGCUGCGGACUGUUCUUCGAACAGUGGUAGGAGAGCGUUCUAAGGGCUGUGAAGCAAGACCGGAAGGACUUGUGGAGCGCUUAGAAGUGAGAAUGCCGGUAUGAGUAGCGAAAGAGGGGUGAGAAUCCCCUCCACCGAAUGCCUAAGGUUUCCUGAGGAAGGCUCGUCCGCUCAGGGUUAGUCGGGACCUAAGCCGAGGCCGAAAGGCGUAGGCGAUGGAUAACAGGUUGAUAUUCCUGUACCACCUCCUCACCAUUUGAGCAAUGGGGGGACGCAGGAGGAUAGGGUAAGCGCGGUAUUGGAUAUCCGCGUCCAAGCAGUUAGGCUGGGAAAUAGGCAAAUCCGUUUCCCGUGAAGGCUGAGCUGUGAUGGCGAGCGAAUUAUAGUAGCGAAGUUCCUGAUUCCACACUGCCAAGAAAAGCCUCUAGCGAGGUGAGAGGUGCCCGUACCGCAAACCGACACAGGUAGGCGAGGAGAGAAUCCUAAGGUGAUCGAGAGAACUCUCGUUAAGGAACUCGGCAAAAUGACCCCGUAACUUCGGGAGAAGGGGUGCUCUGUUAGGGUGCAAGCCCGAGAGAGCCGCAGUGAAUAGGCCCAGGCGACUGUUUAGCAAAAACACAGGUCUCUGCGAAGCCGUAAGGCGAAGUAUAGGGGCUGACGCCUGCCCGGUGCUGGAAGGUUAAGAGGAGCGCUUAGCGUAAGCGAAGGUGCGAAUUGAAGCCCCAGUAAACGGCGGCCGUAACUAUAACGGUCCUAAGGUAGCGAAAUUCCUUGUCGGGUAAGUUCCGACCCGCACGAAAGGCGCAACGAUCUGGGCACUGUCUCAACGAGAGACUCGGUGAAAUUAUAGUACCUGUGAAGAUGCAGGUUACCCGCGACAGGACGGAAAGACCCCGUGGAGCUUUACUGCAGCCUGAUAUUGAAUGUUGGUACAGCUUGUACAGGAUAGGUAGGAGCCUUGGAAACCGGAGCGCCAGCUUCGGUGGAGGCAUCGGUGGGAUACUACCCUGGCUGUAUUGACCUUCUAACCCGCCGCCCUUAUCGGGCGGGGAGACAGUGUCAGGUGGGCAGUUUGACUGGGGCGGUCGCCUCCUAAAAGGUAACGGAGGCGCCCAAAGGUUCCCUCAGAAUGGUUGGAAAUCAUUCGCAGAGUGUAAAGGCACAAGGG